UCGAAACCCGCAACGAGCAGACCGCGAACACGUUCAUGCCGCACGGGGACCCGACGGCAGGCGCGCGCGCUCCCGUCGUCGCCCCGCACCCGCACGGCCCUCGCGCGAGCGACGCGCCGGACGGGGCCAACAACAAACCCACGGCGCGGAAGGCGCCAAGGAUCACAACCGUGGAGCGCCGCCCCCGUCACGCACCCGUCCGCGGUGUGCCGUGCGCGGGCCGUGCGUCUCCCGAGAUUGAAUACCGAAAGAAAAAAU
This 258-nucleotide unclassified non-coding RNA is filed under the name Pinguicula elongata. Its description in RNAcentral is "ITS1". Lineage: Eukaryota; Viridiplantae; Streptophyta; Magnoliopsida; Lamiales; Lentibulariaceae. The record is from RNAcentral.